AAGUCGUAACAAGGUCUCCGUAGGUGAACCUGCGGAGGGAUCAUUAACACUUCUCUGAGAGAAUAGACUUCACCGUCUACUUCGCUCUAUCCACUCGUGAACUUAACUUAUGCCCCGGUUGCACUAUUUUAUAGUGUAGCUAUCUAUUUUAUUGUUAUUAAACCCUUUUCCAACUGCUAACAGCUAUAUACAAUUCAUAUGAUACUAACGUAUUAUAUGUAUUAUUAGUUAAAAACUAAAAGCACAACUCUUAGCAACGGAUAUCUCGGUUCUC
RNAcentral lists this unclassified non-coding RNA (274 nucleotides) under fungal sp. RNAcentral describes it as "partial internal transcribed spacer region". The stretch from base 1 to 46 matches the Rfam family "Eukaryotic small subunit ribosomal RNA", at positions 1786 to 1831 of the family's 1831-position model. Lineage: Eukaryota; Fungi. The record is from RNAcentral.